AACGAACGCUGGCGGCAUGCCUAACACAUGCAAGUCGAACGAGACCUUCGUGUCUAGUGGCGCACGGGUGCGUAACGCGUGGGAACCUGCCCUUAGGUUCGGAAUAACUCCCCGAAAGGGGUGCUAAUACCGGAUAAUGUCUUCGGACCAAAGAGUUAUGGCCUUUGGAUGGGCCCGCGUUGGAUUAGCUAGUUGGUAGGGUAAAAGCCUACCAAGGCGACGAUCCAUAGCUGGUCUGAGAGGAUGAUCAGCCACACUGGGACUGCGACACGGCCCAGACUCGUACGGGAGGGAGGAGUGGGGAAUAUUAGACGCGGGACGAAAGCCUAACAAAGCAAUGCCGGGGAAGUGAGGAAGGCCUUAGGGUUGUAAAGCUCUUUGACCCGGGAUGAUAAUGACAGUACCGGGAGAAUAAGCUCCGGCUAACUCCGUG
This 433-nucleotide ribosomal RNA is filed under the name uncultured bacterium. RNAcentral's name for it is "partial 16S ribosomal RNA". It matches the Rfam family "Bacterial small subunit ribosomal RNA", at positions 29 to 507 of the family's 1533-position model. The record is from RNAcentral.